Molecule: long non-coding RNA, 614 nt
Organism: Clarias gariepinus (North African catfish)
Lineage: Eukaryota; Metazoa; Chordata; Actinopteri; Siluriformes; Clariidae
Exons: 3
Source: RefSeq, a predicted model, not a curated record
AUAAAAAGGCAUCCAAGAAGUUGAUGUGAGAUUGUGACAGUGUGAAGCCAGUGGACCUGAUGCUGAAGAUAACGUUCCUGCUGGUGCCUCUAAUCAUGUAGGUAUUCAGAAGAUGCCCACUGAAACACCUCCUGAAGUUUCUCAAGGUACCUGAGAUUUUACAUUGGAAUAUAGCCAGCAAUGUAAGUACAUGAACCUCCCACAAAAUUCAGGCUUAAUAAAGUAAGUAUUCUUAUGUACAGGUAAUGAGUCCAGGACAAAGAUUGGGAACCCAUGAAUAAGUUGAAGAGUGUGUUGGUCCAAUGCUGAGAUUUUUUUACAACUGUGAUGACACUUUUGAAAGCACAUAUAACUAAAGGGAAACUCGGCACUUUGUCUGAAUGCCAGCAGUGUUAGACUUUGUAAGAAAUGGAGGUCUUUGCUUGAAAAGGAAAGCCCAAAAUAAGUGAUACACAAGCAAGUACGUUAUUUCUUUGAGAUUUUUUUGUCCACUUAUUUUGUUUUUCAUUUACAUAUGCAGCAGAUUGUUUUUAAAUUCUACAGUUGUUCUUAAAUUCUGCUUUAACAUUUUAUUUUGAAUAACUGGUUUAGGUUUCAUCUUAUGUUUUAUUGAU